AAUGAAGUGUCUGAAUAAAGAGUUAUUUUGAUAGAAUAAAAAAUGUGUAAAACACCUUCAUU
This 62-nucleotide transfer RNA is filed under the name Megasoma mars. RNAcentral's name for it is "tRNA-Ile". The record is from RNAcentral. RNAcentral also lists the same sequence under 1 other name. Lineage: Eukaryota; Metazoa; Arthropoda; Insecta; Coleoptera; Scarabaeidae.